RNAcentral lists this transfer RNA (71 nucleotides) under Ovis aries (sheep). It matches the Rfam family "tRNA". Rfam says of the family: Transfer RNA (tRNA) molecules are approximately 80 nucleotides in length. Their secondary structure includes four short double-helical elements and three loops (D, anti-codon, and T loops). The record is from Rfam by way of RNAcentral. RNAcentral also lists the same sequence under 1 other name. Lineage: Eukaryota; Metazoa; Chordata; Mammalia; Artiodactyla; Bovidae.
UCCCUGGUAGUCCAGUGGUUAAGACUGCAUUUCUAAUGCAAGGAAUGCAGGUUUGAUCCCUGGUCAGGGAA